GCAGCCGCAGCCCCUGGCGCUAACGGUCGGUAACGGCCCGCGCGCGCCGCCCGCCGGGGGCUCGCGCCAGCCACGAGGGAGCGUCCGCGGCCCGCGCGCCCGCGCGGCGGAGGAGAGGUGAGCCCCCGCCCGGGCCAGGCCCUCUGGCCGCGCCGUCCGCCCCUCUAGUCGUGUCCCCUCGUGGGCCGAACGGACGCGGCGGUGCCCCGCGCCCGACCAGACGUCCCGUGGGCUAGGGCCUGGGCCUCGGGCCGCGUCGGCGCCGGUCGAGCCUCUCCGGGUGUCGGGGUUCGGGGCGGGCGCGCGUGGGCGUGGCUCCUCUGUCCACGCCUGUUCCCUUCGUCGCCGCGGCUCUCGUCCGGGACACGGCUUUCCGGAGUAGAGCCCUUGGAGGUGUUAAGUGUGAUGCUUCCAUAAUACAUUUGGAUGCUGUCAGCUAAGUUCACUUCUGAACUAAGGGGUUCCUCCAAAUGUUGGCUGAAAUUCAUCCCAAGGCUGGUCUGCAAAGUCUGCAAUUCAUAAUGGAGCUACUGUACUGGCUAUUGGAAGGAGGAGAUUCUGAAGAUAAGGAGUUCUCUUGUAGGAUGCCACUGGAAAUGUUGAAAUGAAAAAUAUUCAGCCGUUGGUCUUUGAAAUUUCCUGUGAUGUGUUUCAAUCUAGAUGCAAAGAACAUGGAAAAAUCAAAGUGCUCGAGUGGUUUAAAUAUGUUUUGGGUAUUCCUGUUUAUAGACUAUAAUACUUUUCCAAUUAAAAUCCU
RNAcentral lists this long non-coding RNA (757 nucleotides) under Homo sapiens (human). RNAcentral's name for it is "non-protein coding lnc-IRX3-80:26". The record is from RNAcentral. Lineage: Eukaryota; Metazoa; Chordata; Mammalia; Primates; Hominidae.